GUCCACCUCCCAUCCGUGUCUAUCUGUACCCUGUUGCUUCGGCGUGGCUACGGCCCGCCGAAGACUAACAUUUGAACACUGUCUGAAGUUUGCAGUCUGAGUUUUUAGUUAAACAAUAAUUAAAACUUUCAACAACGGAUCUCUUGGUUCCGGCAUCGAUGAAGAACGCAGCGAAAUGCGAUAAUUAAUGUGAAUUGCAGAAUUCAGUGAAUCAUCGAGUCUUUGAACGCACAUUGCGCCCCCUGGUAUUCCGGGGGGCAUGCCUGUCCGAGCGUCAUUGCUGCCCUCAAGCACGGCUUGUGUGUUGGGCUUCCGUCCCUGGUAACGGGGACGGGCCCAAAAGGCAGUGGCGGCACCAUGUCUGGUCCUCGAGCGUAUGGGGCUUUGUCACCCGCUCCCGUAGGUCCAGCUGGCAGCUAGCCUCGCAACCAAUCUUUUUAACCAGGUUGACCUCGGAUCAGGUAGGGAUACCCGCUGAACUUAAGCAUAUCAAUAAGCCGGAGG
This 504-nucleotide ribosomal RNA is filed under the name Aspergillus ruber. RNAcentral describes it as "eukaryotic LSU rRNA". The stretch from base 124 to 277 matches the Rfam family "5.8S ribosomal RNA". The record is from RNAcentral. Lineage: Eukaryota; Fungi; Ascomycota; Eurotiomycetes; Eurotiales; Aspergillaceae.